GCCUUAGUGAGCCUGCACAGGGCGGCAUGCGCGAGAGUGGGGGCGCCCUCCCACUCUGUGCCAGCAGUACUUCAUUUACCAGAAUCCCAGCCCUGGGCCCCAAGGUUCAAGCCAGAAGCUUGGAGCCCUGCUGCUGUGUGAGAAGUAGACUCUGGGGACAGGAAUCCAUCCCUGCCAGUGUCACCUACAACCUGGCUCCUCAGCCUGAGACCAAGACCACUGUCCUGUAUCUGCUGAGGCCAAGCAGCCCAGAGACGGAGCAGAGUGGCAGGUGAUGGAGCCCGAGGCACCAGCUUAGCAGUGACACCGGGCGGAAGGAAGGGUGCACUGGGCCCCAGGGACCUGCUCACCACUCUCACCCCUGUGGGGAGGGGCAGAAGGCCUCAGUCAGCCGUUCCCUCCUGGGAGUCUCUGUCAGGACCUGAAUUCAAGACAGCUGGGACUACGAUUUUCAGCCCUCUUGAGUACUCGCCCACCUGGUAGCUCCGCUUCGUCCCCAACCGUCCCGGUAACAAGGGAUCCUGAAAUGUGCCUUCUGCCGCUGCCACCCGUGAGCCUGAGAGAGCUUGGAGCUGAGACUUCAGACUGUUACACAGCACAUCAUUCACUUUGUACGAAGUUCAAGAAUAGGCACAACUCACGCGCUGUCAGAAAUCCCAGCAGUAACCACCUCCUGGCUGGGGAGGGCAUUGCCUGGAGGGGAGCCAGGAGGGGUCUGUCCAUGGUGCUGAAACGCCCCAGGGCUGAACUUUC
Molecule: long non-coding RNA, 753 nt
Filed under: Balaenoptera musculus (blue whale)
Lineage: Eukaryota; Metazoa; Chordata; Mammalia; Artiodactyla; Balaenopteridae
Description: lncRNA (ENSBMSG00010014503.1)
Source: RNAcentral